UACAGAGGGUGCGAGCGUUAAUCGGAAUUACUGGGCGUAAAGCGUGCGUAGACGGUUAUUUAAGUCGGAUGUGAAAGCCCCGGGCUCAACCUGGGAAUUGCAUUCGAGACUGAAUAGCUAGGGUGCGGUAGAGGGAAGCGGAAUUUCCGGUGUAGCGGUGAAAUGCGUAGAUAUCAGGAGGAACACCGGUGGCGAAGGCGGGUCUCUGGGCCGUAACUGACGCUGAGGAGCGAAAGCAUGGGGAGCGAACAGG
Molecule: ribosomal RNA, 253 nt
Filed under: uncultured bacterium
Lineage: Bacteria
Description: partial 16S ribosomal RNA
Rfam family: Bacterial small subunit ribosomal RNA
Source: RNAcentral